AUAGGGUCAUUUUUAUAUUAUGAAGAAGAAAAGCAGCUGUUGUAUUACAUUCACUGUAUUGGUCCUGCUUGUGUUUCAGGGCAAGAUCCUUGUUGGGACAAGGAAUGCUGAAAUAAUCGAAGUUGGAGAGAAAAAUGCAGCUUGUAAUAUUUUAGUUAACGGUCAUGUGGAUGGGCCAAUCUGGGGACUAGCAACACAUCCUUCCAGGGAUUUUUUCCUUUCUGCUGCAGAAGAUGGGACAGUGAGACUUUGGGAUAUUGCUGAUAAAAAGAUGUUAAACAAAGUGAAUUUGGGGCAUGCUGCUCGUACUGUGUGUUAUAGCCCUGAAGGGGACAUGGUGGCUAUUGGAAUGAAAAAUGGAGAAUUUAUCAUUUUACUAGUGAGUUCUCUAAAAAUAUGGGGAAAGAAGAGAGACAGGAGAUGUGCAAUCCAUGAUAUCAGGUUAGUGAACAAAUGGAAUAGAGUUUCUAGUAUAUACUUGAUUUAACUUCCAUUUGUAAAAUUUUCCAUAGCCUUGCCUUCAAAAAGAGGUCCCCAGGGCCUGUAGCAUUUCCCAUAUUAUAAAUUGUAUGCUAAAAUAUGGCUGUUUGUAUACUACUUAAUUCUUCUUGCUAAAUUAUAAACCCACUGGGCACCAACUAUAAUAGCAAGUACUAGUAGGUAAUGUUUGAUGAAUUCAUGUUAACACUUAGCCAUGUCCAUUA
RNAcentral lists this long non-coding RNA (704 nucleotides) under Pan troglodytes (chimpanzee). RNAcentral's name for it is "long non-coding RNA NONPTRT005158". The record is from RNAcentral. Lineage: Eukaryota; Metazoa; Chordata; Mammalia; Primates; Hominidae.